CCUACGGGUGGCAGCAGUGAGGAAUAUUGGUCAAUGGGCGCUAGCCUGAACCAGCCAAGUAGCGUGAAGGAUGACUGCCCUAUGGGUUGUAAACUUCUUUUAUAUGGGAAUAAAGUGCAGUAUGUAUACUGCUUUGCAUGUACCUUAUGAAUAAGGAUCGGCUAACUCCGUGCCAGCAGCCGCGGUAAUACGGAGGAUCCGAGCGUUAUCCGGAUUUAUUGGGUUUAAAGGGAGCGUAGGCGGGUUGUUAAGUCAGUUGUGAAAGUUUGCGGCUCAACCGUAAAAUUGCAGUUGAUACUGGCAUCCUUGAGUACAGUAGAGGUAGGCGGAAUUCGUGGUGUAGCGGUGAAAUGCGGAGAUAUAAGGAAGAACACCAGUGGCGAAGGCGGAUGACUGGACGGCAACUGACGGUGAGGCGCGAAAGCGUGGGGAGCAAACAGGAUUAGAUACCCUAGUAGUC
Molecule: ribosomal RNA, 460 nt
Filed under: uncultured bacterium
Lineage: Bacteria
Description: partial 16S ribosomal RNA
Rfam family: Bacterial small subunit ribosomal RNA
Source: RNAcentral